GACGAACCGUGCGAACGUUGUUCGGAUUCACUGGGCUUAAAGGGCGCGUAGGCGGGCCGACAAGUCCGGGGUGAAAUCCCACGGCUCAACCGUGGAAUUGCCUUGGAUACUGCCGGUCUCGAGGGAGGUAGGGGCGUGCGGAACUUCCGGUGGAGCGGUGAAAUGCGUAGAUAUCGGAAGGAACGCCGGUGGCGAAAGCGGCGCGCUGGACCUCUUCUGACGCUGAGGCGCGAAAGCCAGGGGAGCGAACGGG
RNAcentral lists this ribosomal RNA (253 nucleotides) under uncultured bacterium. Its description in RNAcentral is "partial 16S ribosomal RNA". It matches the Rfam family "Bacterial small subunit ribosomal RNA", at positions 524 to 776 of the family's 1533-position model. The record is from RNAcentral.